GAGGGAAAGUUGCAAAGCACUUUGAAGAGAGAGUUAAAGAGGACGUGAAACCGGUAAGAUGGAAACGGAUAGAGCUAGCGUAUCUAGCUUGUAUUCAGCCGCCCUGGCUCGGGUGCCCUGUCUGCUGGUCCGGAAUCGGCCAGUUGGCGGGUGUCUCUCGGGUCUUGGUGGUGCACUUGCAAGUGGAGUGCGCUGAGGCCUGUGGGUCAGCGGUUGGAAGUGCGCUUUGAGGAUACCCUUCGGGGUAAAACCCGGGCGUGCCUAAGACUGUUUGGCCUGCUUGUACAUGAGCGUGGCCAACGGGUUUGGCUGGGGCUGAGCUGGUCGCCGGUUACGGUCGCAUGCGACACGUGCUGGUGGCUGGUUUGGUCUGGGUCUGGCUCCCUCGCUCGCCCUCGGUGUAAAAGCUAGUCAUCUAUCCGACCCGUCUUGAAACACGGACCAAGGAGUUUAGCGUAUACGCGAGUCAUUGAGUGAAAAACUCAAAGGCGCAAUGAAAGUAAAGGCAUCCCUUGUGGAGCUGAUAUGCGACCUCGGGUGCUUCGGUGCCCGGGAGCAGCAUAGCCCCGUCCCGAUCGCUUGCGAUGGGGCGGAGGUAGAGCGUGUUCGCUGAGACCCGAAAGAUGGUGAACUAUUCCUGAGCAGGAUGAAGCCAGUGGAAACACUGGUGGAAGUCCGAAGCGAUUCUGACGUGCAAAUCGAUCGUCUGACUUGGGUAUGGGGCGAAAGACUAAUCGAACCAUCUAGUAG
Molecule: ribosomal RNA, 750 nt
Filed under: Pratylenchoides alkani
Lineage: Eukaryota; Metazoa; Nematoda; Chromadorea; Rhabditida; Merliniidae
Description: eukaryotic LSU rRNA
Rfam family: Eukaryotic large subunit ribosomal RNA
Source: RNAcentral